This 376-nucleotide ribosomal RNA is filed under the name uncultured bacterium. RNAcentral describes it as "bacterial SSU rRNA". It matches the Rfam family "Bacterial small subunit ribosomal RNA", at positions 28 to 404 of the family's 1533-position model. The record is from RNAcentral.
GACGAACGCUGGCGGCGUGCUUAACACAUGCAAGUCGAGCGGUAAGGCCCUUUCGGGGGUACACGAGCGGCGAACGGGUGAGUAACACGUGGGUGACCUGCCCUCAGCUCUGGGAUAAGCCUGGGAAACCGGGUCUAAUACUGGAUAUGACUCCAUGACGCAUGUUGUGGGGUGGAAAGCCUUGUGCGGCUGAGGAUGGGCCCGCGGCCUAUCAGCUUGUUGGUGGGGUGAGGCCUACCAAGGCGACGACGGGUAGCCGGCCUGAGAGGGCGACCGGCCACACUGGGACUGAGACACGGCCAGACUCCGUACGGGAGGCAGCAGGUGGGGAAUCUUGCGCAAGUGGGCGAAAGCCUGACGCAGCGACGCCGCGUGA